This 275-nucleotide ribosomal RNA is filed under the name uncultured prokaryote. Its description in RNAcentral is "partial 16S ribosomal RNA". It matches the Rfam family "Bacterial small subunit ribosomal RNA", at positions 524 to 800 of the family's 1533-position model. The record is from RNAcentral.
UACGUAGGGGCUAGCGUUAUCCGGAAUUACUGGGCGUAAAGGGUGCGUAGGCGGUCUUUCAAGUCAGAAGUGAAAGGCUACGGCUCAACCGUAGUAAGCUUUUGGAACUGUAAGACUUGAGUGCAGGAGAGGAGAGUGGAAUUCCUAGUGUAGCGGUGAAAUGCGUAGAUAUUAGGAGGAACACCAGUAGCGAAGGCGGCUCUCUGGACCAUAACUGACGCUGAGGCACGAAAGCGUGGGGAGCAAACAGGAUUAGAUACCCGCGUAGUCCCUGA